This 176-nucleotide small RNA is filed under the name Arabidopsis thaliana (thale cress). RNAcentral describes it as "ATSL084770". Lineage: Eukaryota; Viridiplantae; Streptophyta; Magnoliopsida; Brassicales; Brassicaceae. The record is from RNAcentral.
ACUCAUAUUUACAGAUUAUAGAAGCUAAAAAUAAAAUAAAAACAGAUGGUUUAAAAAAUUUUAGUCCACAAAAUCGUAAUACUAUGUAUGAGGGACUCAUGACGCAUACGAAUGAGUGUUGUUCUUUGUUUUCCUUUCUCAAGAUAUCGUGAGAAACAAAGGUAUGAGACUAAUCC